Molecule: long non-coding RNA, 1303 nt
Filed under: Parus major (Great Tit)
Lineage: Eukaryota; Metazoa; Chordata; Aves; Passeriformes; Paridae
Description: lncRNA (ENSPMJG00000012903.1)
Source: RNAcentral
GUCCUGUGUCACUGUCUUCCAUCGCCACCCUGCUUCUACCAGCACUACUCUGAGAAUGGCCUUGGCUCCUCUACAGUCCAGGAAGUGAGAAAAAAAGCCUUUCCCUUGAAGAAGGAUGAUAACCAGUGUGGGCCAGCAUCUCCCUGCUGAGGGCCAGAGAGUCCUGGUUUGGCACAGCAGACCAUCAACCUCAACGUGCUGCACAACUCCCUGACACAUCCAGAGCCAUCAUUUGGUCUCAUUGAAGCCCCACACUGGUGAAGGUUUUAUCACAGUCUCCUCCUACAACAUCACAAACACCAAACUGUCACCCCCGUUCUCCAAAAAGAACCUGAAGAGAUGGAUGAGCAGCUCUGUUGCCUUUCAGAAACUCAGCUUUUCACCCAAGGAAGGAACUGAUGUCACCAGUGGAAAAUCUGUGACAUUUCUGGGAGGAUCUGUGAGCCCGUGGCCACAGUAGGGCACUCCAGAGCCAUCAGAGUCUUGCCAAUAAAAACAGGAGUUGAGCUCGUUUUGGAGUGGCUGUGACCUGGAUUUACUCCCCAAAAGAUUGCACAGUGCCCAGACAAAGUGGCCAGACACACAGAGCCGAGCCACGCUGCAGGACUGCACAGGAUCCCCUGGCACACACUGCCAGGGAUGUUACCAAGAUCCUCAUGAGGGACUGUAUGGCCGUGGUGUGAAGCUCAGGACAGCGUGUUGUGCUGGCUGGUGUGAAGCAGGUGCUCACUUACUCCUCCCCAUGCUGACUAGCAUGUCAAAGUCAAGUGUGUUUGCAUGCAAGUGUCACCCACAAAAUGUGUUCUUCCUGCUUGAUCCAUCCAAUUACAUGUCUGACUUUGCCUGGACUCAGUGGAGAUUGAUAGUGCUGGGAUCAGACUGUGUUCAAGGAAUUGGAAAUCUGAUUUGAGGUGAGUCCUGCUUCAAGUAUAGCUCAAAUUCAAAAUUAUUUCAGUUCUGACGAAGAGGGGGAAGAGAAACAGAGUAGGUGAAAUAAUAGCUAUUACUAGAUAAGAUAAGCCAGGCAAGACAAAAUAUUAAUUCUGAUUCUGUUAGCACACCAAACAGAGAGAGAUGUAAAUCCAUCCUCCUGUCCACAUCAGAGAACAUUGCAGUCACCCUUGGUGCACAAUUCAGGCUGAUAAAUCAUUAAAACCAGGUAGAAAUGGUAACAUUCUGCUAUUAGAUGCCAUUGAUAGUACACUUGUCUGAGAAAGUGGGAUUCUCAGAGUCAGUGGCUCACAUUUCUUUGCAGGCAGAGGUGUGGGUUGGCUCUGAAGCUCUCAAGGUUCACAGGCCUCAC